Molecule: ribosomal RNA, 482 nt
Filed under: uncultured incertae sedis 5 bacterium
Lineage: Bacteria
Description: bacterial SSU rRNA
Rfam family: Bacterial small subunit ribosomal RNA
Source: RNAcentral
GGCGAACGGGUGAGUAAUGCAUCGGAACGUAUCCAGUAGUGGGGGAUAACCCAUCGAAAGAUGGGCUAAUACCGCAUACGCCCCGAGGGGGAAAGUGGGGGAUCCGCAAGGACCUCACGUUAUUGGAGCGGCCGAUGUCCGAUUAGCUAGUUGGCGGGGUAAGAGCCCACCAAGGCGACGAUCGGUAGCUGGUCUGAGAGGAUGAUCAGCCACACUGGGACUGAGACACGGCCCAGACUCCUACGGGAGGCAGCAGUGGGGAAUUUUGGACAAUGGGGGCAACCCUGAUCCAGCCAUGCCGCGUGAGUGAAGAAGGCCUUCGGGUUGUAAAGCUCUUUCGGCCGGAACGAAAUCGCAUCUCUUAACACGGGGUGUGGAUGACGGUACCGGAAGAAGAAGCACCGGCUAACUACGUGCCAGCAGCCGCGGUAAUACGUAGGGUGCGAGCGUUAAUCGGAAUUACUGGGCGUAAAGCGUGCGCA